GAAUAAUUCCCCUCUCUUAAGGUGGUGACGUCGUUCACAUUUUGCCAGGGAAGGAAACUGAGGCCCAGAGUCACCUACAUAUGCAAAGUAAACUACUGCCAGUCAGGUUAAACCCUGCUUUCCUGCUUUAAUCCAACAGCUAAUGUCAGACACCCUGCAUCUUGAUGGAUGCAAACCCAAAGCCUGUCUGUCAAGGAGGAGUCCUCAUGCUUCAGCUUCCCAGAUGAAGACUUUGCCCCAUCUGUACUCUACUUGCUAAGACAGCCCACGUGUUUCCUAGUCCUGUUGAUUCUUCUGGGACAUUAAUCUUCUCUUUCUCUCUUCCGACUGGCAGUACCUGGUCCAUUGUUCAGCACCCCAUCCCAGAUUACCGGAGCACUUGCUUAGCAGGUCCCCCUGCUUCUGGUCUCUGUGACGUGCUGUUCACCCCACAUGAGAAGCUACCAACUUUCUCCCUGAAACACCCAUUUAUAAUGUUGCUCUCCUAUUGAGGAACCCAAACUGCUUACCCAGCCCAUAGAAACCCAACCCCUCUGCGCACGACUCACAUACUCAUCUCAGCUUAGCUCUCCCAGAACACCAGCCGGCAGCAAAGACAGGAGUGCUCUUCAUCGUCCCUUGUACAGAGUCUUUAGC
This is a long non-coding RNA of Bos taurus (domestic cattle), 636 nucleotides long. Lineage: Eukaryota; Metazoa; Chordata; Mammalia; Artiodactyla; Bovidae. The record is from Ensembl.